GUGAAGCCGCCGCGGUAAUACGAAGGGGGCGAGCGUUGUUCGGAAUUACUGGGCGUAAAGGGCGCGUAGGCGGCUCUUUACGUUAGGCGUGAAAGCCCCGGGCUCAACCCGGGAACUGCGCUUAAGACUGGAAGACUAGAAAACGGAAGAGGGUAGUGGAAUUCCCAGUGUAGAGGUGAAAUUCGUAGAUAUUGGGAAGAACACCAGUGGCGAAAGCGGCUACCUGGUCCGAUUUUGACGCUGAGGCGCGAAAGCGUGGGGCACAAACAGGAUUAGAUA
RNAcentral lists this ribosomal RNA (279 nucleotides) under uncultured bacterium. RNAcentral describes it as "partial 16S ribosomal RNA". It matches the Rfam family "Bacterial small subunit ribosomal RNA", at positions 505 to 784 of the family's 1533-position model. The record is from RNAcentral.